CAAAUAGUAAAUAUUGCCUUUCAUGUACAAUCAACAUAAGUUUCUAUAUAUGAUUUUUUAGCUAAUUUAAACUCUCUUUUUUUCAAAUUUUGUCAGUGUAACUUUUGCUAGGUGAAAAAAGAAAAAUUAUUGUCAUAGUGACAUAAAAUAAUAUCAUCAUUGUUUCAUAAUUUUCUGCCAUCAAACUGAGCUGAAAAAGAAGAAACAGUUACUAACAAAGUAAAAAAGGAAUCCAGUGAGGAGUUCUGAUUAUUCAAGAAUAUUUUUUUUUAAAAAAAAAAAACUUUAUAUAUGUACUUGCACUUGAUAUCCAUUUAAUAACAUGAUCCCACAAAUGUUUUUUGAGUGACUGACGUAUACGCAAAUCUUAUCCUAUCUUCUCGUACUAAGAAAAGAGUUUUCUCAAUGCUCUAACGCCCACACUCACAUUAGAUAGGAACCGAACUGUCUCGUGAUGCUUUGAAUUCCUAUUUAAAAGCUGGUUAAGAACAGAGAUGAAGUGUCUACUAAAGCCAUAGUAAGAUUUACAGAUGCAAUCACAAUAAGAAUCAAUCAAGCACUCAAUGGUUGAUGGACAAAACUGGAACACUGACAACUAAGCAAAGUCAUUGCUCAAACUGCUCUUCACACCUAUGCAGCAAAGUUUGCUGUGUAACUGUCUUUUCCAUCUCAAGUCACAACACAUAACAAGUGCAUUUGUUUUGUAAAAGGCCAGCUCAUAUCAAACACAUACCAUAGAAAUUUCUGAAGAAUUAAAAGACAAAAUCACAAAACAAGGUUCUCACUUCCAUUCUUGAUUAGAUGAACUACAAUAAGGAAUUGGUUUGACUAUUGUGAUCAUAUAUGUAUUAAGCUUUGUGAGGCUCAGAUCGUGUUUACCAUUUUAAGUCGCGGAUUUUAUGUAGCACAUAUGAUUACUAUUGGAGCAAGGGAGCUUCUCUACUUUUAUGCAUGAUUUGCAACUGACUCACACUGAUCUGAAGCCAGAAAAUAUCCUCCUUGUUUCGUCGAACUACAUUUCAGUUACAAGGUAAAGCAUCAUAUCGUACAGUCUUAUUGGAAUUGCUUUUCAAUAGCAUAGUAAUAUUAGAAGCAACUACGUAUUUGUGUAAUUACGUUUGCUAAAGAUCAACCUGUGUAUUAGGAUUUUAGCCUUUCUAUCAAUGUUGACAUCACAGACUGAAAUUUUCUUGGCAUUUUUUUUCUUAGUCUCUCUCUCGAUACAACUAGUAAAUGUACGGGAUAGACUCACUAUACAGAGAGAGAUAUCUUGGAAGCGCUCAGUCUAUCUGCAUUUUGCACCUGUGGUUUCUUUCCUAGACCAUAUAAAAGCUAGUGCUUACUUUAUCAAAAUAGAUGGCUGUUCCCUAGAAAUUUAAGCAAUGGAUUCCUCCAACUACAAAGACAGAAAAUUCACUACUGAAAGUAUGGAUCGAAUGUGGUUGUAUGUUACAAGUUUUAUCAGACAACUCAACCACAAUAAAAUAUCCUGAUACAAUGAAGAUUAUCUUGCUUCAAAAGCGGUUAAAGUUGCAAAAGAAGAACAGGGGUGGAAGUAUAAAAACCGUCUACUAAAGCCAUAAUAGAUUUACAGAUGCUAUCACGAUUAGAACCAAUCAAGCAUUCAAUCAAUGGUUGAUGGACAAAACCGGAACGUUGACAAUGAAGCAGUGUCAUUCCUCAAACUGCUCUUUAUACUCUACGCAACAAAGUUUGUUCUGUAACUCUGUCUCUUCCAUCUCAAAGUCACAACACAUAUCAAAGUGCA
This is a long non-coding RNA of Solanum pennellii, 1768 nucleotides long. RefSeq lists it as uncharacterized. Lineage: Eukaryota; Viridiplantae; Streptophyta; Magnoliopsida; Solanales; Solanaceae. The transcript is spliced from 3 exons. The record is from RefSeq and is a predicted model, not a curated record.